GGUGCAACUAGCGACACAGACCUUACAGGUCGACUCUCCUGGCACUCGUAAACAGGUGGCGCAUGGUUGUCCUCAGCUCGCCUCGUGAGAUGUUGGGUUAUGUCCCGCAACGAGCGCACCCCUCUUUCUAUGUUGCCAGCACGUAGUGGUGGGAACUCAUGGGAUACUGCCGGGGUCAACUCAGAAGAGGGUGGGGAUGACC
This 202-nucleotide ribosomal RNA is filed under the name uncultured Actinomycetes bacterium. RNAcentral describes it as "uncultured actinobacterium partial 16S ribosomal RNA". The stretch from base 54 to 202 matches the Rfam family "Bacterial small subunit ribosomal RNA", at positions 1036 to 1184 of the family's 1533-position model. The record is from RNAcentral. Lineage: Bacteria; Bacillati; Actinomycetota; Actinomycetes.